AGGUCUGUAAUGACUGCCAUUAAAUCCACACAGCCAUUUACCCCUCCUCAGUACUUUCUGUUUACUUUAGGGCAAUUUACCAUAACACUUAGCCAUUAAAAACAGCUGUACCUAAUGUUAGGGCAAGGAUGGCCUAUGACAUGUUUCAAAAUCUAAGCAGGCACACAUUCAAAAUUUUUGUUACAAAGGCUGCUCAAGGUCUUUAUGAUUGCCUCUACUUUGGUAUCAGCAAAAGGUAGCACUAUUUUGGCUAGAUAAUCUGCUAUUUAGGACUCAAAAUGUUUGUGCUGAGAGAUUUUACUCUCAAACGGGUAAAAGCAUUUCAUUUUACUUUUUGCUGUUUAAUUGAUUCGAGAGAAGCUUUAUGAGGAAGACAUUUAAUUGAUGGAAUCCCACUUACUAGUGUAUGUUGAAAAGUUGUUAACAGGGAGAUUGUUUCACACCUAAACGAUGGAUACAUAUGGAUGCUGCACUACCGGUUUUGGUUUUGAGUGGAAAAAAGUUAUUUACAAUCUUGUCCGCGAGGUGGCAGGACAAGGUAACUAAAGCUGCGUUGAUCCCUUGUCAAGUUGGAAAGCAGGGACAAGAACAGCUUUCAAUAAUUAAUAGACCCGUUACGCGCCGACACUGACUGAUAGAGCAUCAGACAUGUAAGCUCAACAAGAGGUCGUCAUUGUGGUGUAUUGACAGACAUUUAUAAUACCUGAAAAAAAAAAAAAAAGAGGAACGAAGGUCCUAAAGCACCCUUGGUACACUAGUGUAUUUCAAUGCAUGGAGCAAGGACAGUGACAUCUCCCAGGGUAUUGUCAAUCAAGGAGUACUUCGACAAAGCCAGACAACAGAGACCAUUGUAAUCCCAUUGGAGGGGAAAGAAAAAAAAAAAAGAAAAGAAAAAAAAAAAAAAAAAGCAUAACAAGGCUUUGUCUUGGCCUUCAGAACAGGCACAUCUGUGUGUUUCUCUGACUGCUGCAAGCUAAGGGGAUAACAUGGGUUGAUCAAACCCUAAUGGGAACUGAUACAAAUUGGAUGCUAAUUCCAUUGGCCCCUCUUCAUCAGUGAAGUCAUACAUGCCAAGUGGCCCUUCUCAGGAAAAGAAGCUCCUACUUUCCAUGCUCAUCUAAAAGAUAUAGGUUGCAAAAGGCUGGGUUUCCCAGGUAAGCUAUCUAACCAUGCUUCCUGCUGGGAAGCUUCUGUGAAGAUAACAAGACAACAGAGUAGCUAGCUCUCACCCUCAGGGGUGUCUUAUUUAGUAAGAGCCUGUGAUUGACAGAUGUUAAGAAGAAUUGACAGGACAUUUUACAUCUGUUUAGUGUCUUGACUGUCACCCAUUCCUUCUCACACUGGCUAUUGUCAUUCUCCUAUAUCCAGGAAUCCUACUGCUGCCAAUGCAAAUGUCAGACCACUGUGGAGCUAUAGUGCAAUGCAGCAUACAUUAUACAAGAAAUGAAAAGUGGAUCAGGGUCGUUGCAUAGGGAAAUGCAAUGUUUCC
Molecule: long non-coding RNA, 1489 nt
Filed under: Anas platyrhynchos platyrhynchos (common mallard)
Lineage: Eukaryota; Metazoa; Chordata; Aves; Anseriformes; Anatidae
Description: lncRNA (ENSAPLG00000027649.1)
Source: RNAcentral